CGUAUGGGGCAAGCGUUGUUCGGAAUUAUUGGGCGUAAAGGGCUCGCAGGUGGUUUGUUAAGUUGGUGGUUUAAUCUCUGGGCUCAACCCAGAGUCAGCCUCCAAAACUGGCGAACUUGAGUACGAUAGGGGAUAGCGGAAUUCUCGGUGUAGCGGUGGAAUGCGUAGAUAUCGAGAGGAACACCAAUGGCGAAGGCAGCUAUCUGGAUCGUAACUGACACUCAUGAGCGAAAGUGCGGGGAGCAAACAGGAUUAGAUACCCUGGUAGUCCGCACCGUAAACGUUGUAUACUAGUUGUUGGUGGUUUCAACGCCAUCAGUGACGUCGCUAACGCAUUAAGUAUACCGCCUGGGGAGUAUGCUCGCAAGGGUG
Molecule: ribosomal RNA, 372 nt
Filed under: uncultured organism
Description: bacterial SSU rRNA
Rfam family: Bacterial small subunit ribosomal RNA
Source: RNAcentral